RNAcentral lists this long non-coding RNA (348 nucleotides) under Salmo salar (Atlantic salmon). RNAcentral's name for it is "lncRNA (ENSSSAG00000084908.1)". The record is from RNAcentral. Lineage: Eukaryota; Metazoa; Chordata; Actinopteri; Salmoniformes; Salmonidae.
UUUUGACAAAAGAUAAGAAAUGACAUAGAGCGUGUAUAACAAGUUAUAUGUCCCUCUAAUAUCUGUCCACUCCAGAGUUCCGGGGGACGCGCUUUGAGGAUGACAGGUAUUGAGCUCAAGUAUGGAUCUGAUUUGAGAACUGAUAAAAGACUGACAAAGUGCUGGAUGUGCCUAACGACUGCAGGACAAGUCAUUCAAAGAACGACAGAGUUGGACUGCACUAUCUGUCAACUUAUUGAAUGCAGAUGCUACUACUACUACUGCUGUAGACAAAGAUGCCAACAUGUGUCUACUACAUGAAGUUGAAACAGCGGACCUUGGAGUGCCUAGAGAGCCCCAGGUAGGCAG